GUGAGGGAGGAGGCUUUUGGGUUGUAAACCUCUUUUCUCAAGGAAGAACACAAUGACGGUACUUGAGGAAUCAGCAUCGGCUAACUCCGUGCCAGCAGCCGCGGUAAUACGGAGGAUGCAAGCGUUAUUCGGAAUUAUUGGGCGUAAAGCGUCCGCAGGUGGUAAUUCAAGUCUGCUGUUAAAGACCGAAGCUUAACUUCGGAAAGGCAGUGGAAACUGAAUAACUAGAGUACGGUAGGGGUUGAGGGAAUUUCCAGUGUAGCGGUGAAAUGCGUAGAGAUUGGAAAGAACACCAGUGGCGAAGGCGCUCAACUGGACCGUAACUGACACUCAGGGACGAAAGCUAGGGUAGCGAAAGGGAUUAGAUACCCCC
RNAcentral lists this ribosomal RNA (373 nucleotides) under Chroococcidiopsis sp. 2A. Its description in RNAcentral is "bacterial SSU rRNA". It matches the Rfam family "Bacterial small subunit ribosomal RNA", at positions 401 to 789 of the family's 1533-position model. Lineage: Bacteria; Bacillati; Cyanobacteriota; Cyanophyceae; Chroococcidiopsidales; Chroococcidiopsidaceae. The record is from RNAcentral.